Molecule: long non-coding RNA, 642 nt
Filed under: Scophthalmus maximus (turbot)
Lineage: Eukaryota; Metazoa; Chordata; Actinopteri; Pleuronectiformes; Scophthalmidae
Description: lncRNA (ENSSMAG00000032508.1)
Source: RNAcentral
AUGUUCACUCUGAUAAUUAAAAGAAUUAUUAAAGUUCAAUUUCGUGCCAAAGCUGCCUGGAAGGAAAGCUACUUUCAUCAAUGUGAGACUGAAAAAUCUGGUGCAUGCAGUGAUUUACUUACAAGAAUAAUUGCACUGCACCAUUGUGAUAUGUUUUGUCACCAUUAUUCCUCCCCCAAAACUGGAUUUGAAAUGUAUAUUCUCAUACAUUGUUAUUGUACAAUACUUUUUUUUGAAGCUAUGACAUACUGUGGUAUACCUGGAGUAAUGUUCGACAUUCAUGCAUUAACUCUGGUACAGCCUGUUCACCUCUCUCACCACUCUCAGAAUGAUCCUCCAGCUCAGCUCCAUCCUGUCGCUGUGACACAGACGGAACGGAGGAGCCGAUUGGUUCCGGGAGCUCGGCGCCGGAUGUCUGCCAAGGUCUCGCGGCCUCAGUCCACAGGCUUUCUGGUCCUUCCUCUCUGGGCAUCAGGUUUGGACCGAUUUCAGCCUUGCUCGGCCCAGAUCUUCCAUCAAUGCUGUCCCCGUUUUCUGUCUGCGUCGCUGGAGCUAUUCCCUCAGGUCGCCCAUGUGGGCCAGCCCCUCCUCCCGCACCUUCAUUCAAUAUCAGUUGCUGUCCUGCGUGGGAGUGAAGUUUGA